Mesocricetus auratus (golden hamster) is the source of this 530-nucleotide long non-coding RNA. RefSeq lists it as uncharacterized. Lineage: Eukaryota; Metazoa; Chordata; Mammalia; Rodentia; Cricetidae. The record is from RefSeq and is a predicted model, not a curated record. The transcript has 2 exons.
CCGGAGAGGAUUUUGCAAUGCAAAACACGGGGUCUGAGAAGCAAAGCAGCAGCAUCCAGCAGCUGUGACACAAAGAGCAGAGGACAGGAGGGUCGUCUUACUCUGGAACCACUGGCAAGAAGUCAUCUAUCUGAAAUCUCACUGAGAGGUAUACCUGGAACGCCAAAUAACACAGAAAGAUUUGCAAAUUACCACCUUCAAAUCUGGAGUUUUUCAAAGUUGAAAAGAAACUCGGCAGCCAUGUAGUCAGCACCUUGGACCUGCUUCUGUGUCCUGUGAGCACAGGAAGUCAAGACUUGUCCUCUGUGGGAGAACUAGGCCAGACUCUAUUCAUUCCACCUAUUGCUUUUCAAAGUCACAUGUCCCCCUGCUGCAGGCUGUACACUAACACUGAAAGCCCCUAUACCCGCACACUCUCACAAAAUAUAGGGGGUUAGUAUACAACUGCCUUUCCUACGGAAAAGUUGCCUGUUUAUGCCAUCAAGUUAGAAAGAUGGAGUACCAAAUAUAAUAAAAAGCAAGAACAGUAA